RNAcentral lists this unclassified non-coding RNA (391 nucleotides) under soil metagenome. RNAcentral's name for it is "partial contains 5.8S ribosomal RNA, internal transcribed spacer 2, and large subunit ribosomal RNA". The stretch from base 1 to 121 matches the Rfam family "5.8S ribosomal RNA", at positions 35 to 154 of the family's 154-position model. The record is from RNAcentral.
GAUGAAGAACGUAGUGAAGUGCGAUAAGUAGUGUGAAUUGCAGAAUUUCGUGAAUCAUCGAAUCUUUGAACGCAAAUUGCACUCUCCGGUUUUCCGGGAGAGUAUGCCUGUUUGAGGGUCAGCCUAAAUAAAUUCGGCUUCGUUGCUGUGCUUCGCGGUAACGUUUUGUCGGAAAUUGGGUCAUCUUAAACCGAAAGGUUUUUUAAGAGACUUAAAAUUUUUUUUUUACGAUCCCACGAACGUUUCUAAGAUCUUCUUACACGUUCAAGGCGUCGAAUACUUCUAUUAGGCGUGGCCGUCGUAUCGGAUCGCGUCCAUAAUAUUUAUUCUUUAACUGACCUCAGACAGGUAAGAAUACCCGCUGAACUUAAGCAUAUCAAUAAGCGGAGGA